This 253-nucleotide ribosomal RNA is filed under the name uncultured bacterium. Its description in RNAcentral is "partial 16S ribosomal RNA". It matches the Rfam family "Bacterial small subunit ribosomal RNA", at positions 524 to 776 of the family's 1533-position model. The record is from RNAcentral.
UACGUAGGUGGCAAGCGUUAUCCGGAUUUAUUGGGUGUAAAGGGCGUGUAGGCGGGAAUGCAAGUCAGAUGUGAAAACUCAGGGCUCAACCCUGAGCCUGCAUUUGAAACUGUGUUUCUUGAGUGCUGGAGAGGCAAUCGGAAUUCCGUGUGUAGCGGUGAAAUGCGUAGAUAUACGGAGGAACACCAGUGGCGAAGGCGGAUUGCUGGACAGUAACUGACGCUGAGGCGCGAAAGCGUGGGGAGCGAACAGG